RNAcentral lists this long non-coding RNA (277 nucleotides) under Jatropha curcas. RNAcentral's name for it is "long non-coding RNA (JCUR_LNC002369)". The record is from RNAcentral. Lineage: Eukaryota; Viridiplantae; Streptophyta; Magnoliopsida; Malpighiales; Euphorbiaceae.
AGUUGUCACUUGGUGGUGGUUGAGGAGCAGGAGUCUCAGAACCACCAGGUGAAGGGGUGGUGGAAGGAGUCGGUGGAGGAGAGGAAGUAGGGGAAGUUGGUGCCGGAGAUGAUGGAGAAGGAGAUGGAGAGGUUUUCGGGGAUGGUUUAGGAGCUGGUGAUGAUGGAGAUGGAGAAGGUGACGGUGUUGGUGCUGAUUUUGGUGACGGUGUUGGUGCUGGUUUUGGUGACGGUGUUGGUGCUGAUUUUGGUGGUGGAGUUGGUGAAGUUCCUGGUGC